GCUUGCUGCCCAUGGGAUCCAGGUCUGUGUGUUUGAGAUCCCCCAGCCUCCUGGUUCCCCUGGAGAAGAGAGGCCAUGGAGGAGCCUGCCCAACAUGUUUGCUGCUUCCCUGCUCCGGUCAGGAUUCCAGCUCCAUCUGGAUCUGGAGAGGUGAGUGGGGUCAUAGGUGACCUCAGCUUCUUGUCCCCGUCCGUAUUCCUGGACAAGGAGGAUGGUGGAAGGACGGAGGACAAGGCAGUGCCUCUGGAAAUCCAAAAUGCCAAGUCCCAGCCCAGGUGCCUCCCUCCCACCGAGGAGCCUCUGGUGUCCUGGUCGCCUCUGGACGUGGUGUGGCCACCAGAAGAACCGGGCAGCUCCAAGGGGCCCCCUGCUGGCCUGAGGAGUUGCUGCGGCCACAAAGAAGAGGUGCGCUCACUCCCCACACCCGCUGACCCAGGACCCAGCUCAGGGACCCAGACCAUGCCAAGCACUUCGCUGGGAGCCACCGGGAAACAGCAUCUCCCCACAGCCCUGCGAGCUGGGCCUUUCACAGAUGUGAGGCCCUGGAGGAGACUGUCCCGUCAGGCUGCUCCCAAAAAUCCACUGUCAGGGAAACAAGCAAGAGGCAGAACAUGAAUAAAAAUAACAUGAAAGUGUAAUUAUUUAAAAAAUAACGAGCAAAGGUGCUGUGCAAGCAUAGACUCUGGAGGAUGGCGCGAGCACCGGGCAGCCCUCAGGGCUUCCUGGAAGGAG
RNAcentral lists this long non-coding RNA (732 nucleotides) under Equus caballus (horse). RNAcentral's name for it is "lncRNA (ENSECAG00000032673.3)". Lineage: Eukaryota; Metazoa; Chordata; Mammalia; Perissodactyla; Equidae. The record is from RNAcentral.